Molecule: long non-coding RNA, 1176 nt
Organism: Musa acuminata AAA Group (dessert banana)
Lineage: Eukaryota; Viridiplantae; Streptophyta; Magnoliopsida; Zingiberales; Musaceae
Exons: 3
Source: RefSeq, a predicted model, not a curated record
AUUAACUUGAUUGGGAGAUAACUUGGCAUCCGAGCUCCGUUGGCACCCCAUUUCAUCUCUCGUUUCCGCAUAUGCUAAGAACCAGAUGGGAGAGAAUACCUAAUGCGAGAGACCGAUCGCAAGGAGAUCGAUGAAGAGGACACCAUGGAGCAGAUUCCCUCAGCGGCAUCCACCCAAGAUCACAGGAAUUUUCAGUCUACGUUGCAGGACUGACCUUCUCGUGAUUCGUGCAUGCCUGUGUGAUAAACUACCACCGACCAGCAUUAGUCGUGAUUGGUGCCACCAUAUAAAUAUCGAGCGAUGAUGACAGUUCCGACUUCUUCGCGCCCUCUUGUUUCGUUCUCGAGUCGGAGAACUUUUCGCUCGCAUCUUCUUCUUCCCGUGAUUACGCCCUCUGUUUCGUCCUCCCGUCCCUCCCUCCCUCUGCCUUCUCCUCCGUCUUCCCUUCUUCUGCCUCUUCCAUCUCCUCCCCUCCACCCGUUCCUCCUCCGUCUUCUCCGUAUUCCCUUCUUCUGCCUCUACCCUCUUCCGAUGACAAGCACGUUUCGAACUUCCCAUCCGAGUCCAUCGCCGCCGCCGCUGCAAGCUUCCAGGAGGUUCCCGUUGUGAAGCGUAAACCGUUGGGCUUCGUUGGGUCCGGAUCGAGCUUACUUUCCGUCGUAAGAUCGUACAUUGAGGGACUAGGAGGUAGGAAGUAAGAGCAAAAGAUACAUGUGUGACUGGUUACAACAUGGCCCAGUUUGUGGGCCAUUGUUGUUGAGAAUUCCAGUGAGGAUAACUAUUUUCAGGUAGUUCUGGUGCAACGCGUGUAGUUCUGUUCUAUAUGGGCAACAAAAGUGUGUUUCCAAUUUAUUAUCACCUAACUCUGUUUUCUACCAGGUCGUGUAUGGCCAGAAGAUAAAUGUGUGACUGGCCACAACAUGGCUUAUUGGACAAGUUAUUAAUGUUGAGGUUAGCUUUCAGGCUAAUUCUAGUGCACUGCGCUUAGGUUAUGUGUUGUAGGAUCAGUGGGUUUUGGUAUAGCCUUAAUGCAUCUUGCUGUUAUGUAGUCAAAUAUCCUGUUAUUCUUGAGAAAUGCUAUUUUGUUGUACUGCUGCCUUACUAACUCUAUGACUGUUAUGAAUAUAUUUGAUAAUUCAUAUAUCCGUGGAUUAUUACAUGCGGUUAGAAAUGAAA